ACUGAUGGAAACCAUUCUAAACAGCUAGUGAAUUGCUUGAGUUCAGGAGUUCUGAGCCUCAGUGAGGCUAAAGCCAAUUGGGUGUCUGCACUAAAUCUGGCACCAAUAUGGUGGACCUUUGAGAGAGAGGUACCACCAGGCUGCUCAAGGAGAGGCAAACCGGCCCAGGUUAGAAACAGAGCAGGUCAAAGCUUCUGUGCUGAUCAGCAGUGGGUUGGGCACAUGAGUGGCUACUGUGCUUCCACCUUGGUUGAGAUAGCAUUU
Molecule: signal recognition particle RNA, 264 nt
Filed under: Phascolarctos cinereus (koala)
Lineage: Eukaryota; Metazoa; Chordata; Mammalia; Diprotodontia; Phascolarctidae
Description: Metazoan signal recognition particle RNA (ENSPCIG00000021854.2)
Rfam family: Metazoan signal recognition particle RNA
About the family: The signal recognition particle (SRP) is a universally conserved ribonucleoprotein. It is involved in the co-translational targeting of proteins to membranes.
Source: RNAcentral